UCAAGUCGAACGAGAAAGCACUUCGGUGUGAGUAGAGUGGCGCACGGGUGAGUAACGCGUAGGUGAUAUGCCUUUUAGUGGGGGACAACAUCGUGAAAACGGUGCUAAUACCGCAUAAGCUUGAGGAAAUUGAAAAACUUAAGGAAAGGGGGCCUUUGGCUCUCGCUAGAAGAUUGGCCUGCGUGACAUUAGCUUGAUGGUGGGGUAAUGGCCUACCAUGGCGACGAUGUCUAACUGGUCUGAGAGGAUGAUC
This 253-nucleotide ribosomal RNA is filed under the name uncultured bacterium. RNAcentral's name for it is "partial 16S ribosomal RNA". It matches the Rfam family "Bacterial small subunit ribosomal RNA", at positions 58 to 305 of the family's 1533-position model. The record is from RNAcentral.